Molecule: ribosomal RNA, 440 nt
Filed under: uncultured bacterium
Lineage: Bacteria
Description: partial 16S ribosomal RNA
Rfam family: Bacterial small subunit ribosomal RNA
Source: RNAcentral
CCUACGGGAGGCAGCAGUGGGGAAUAUUGCACAAUGGGGGAAACCCUGAUGCAGCGACGCCGCGUGAGCGAUGAAGUAUUUCGGUAUGUAAAGCUCUAUCAGCAGGGAAGAAACAGACGGUACCUGAGUAAGAAGCCCCGGCUAACUACGUGCCAGCAGCCGCGGUAAUACGUAGGGGGCAAGCGUUAUCCGGAUUUACUGGGUGUAAAGGGAGCGUAGACGGCGAAGAAAGUCUGAAGGGAAAGCCCGCGGCUUAACCGCGGAACUGCUUUGGAAACUUUUUUGCUGGAGUACCGGAGAGGUAGGCGGAAUUCCUGGUGUAGCGGUGAAAUGCGUAGAUAUUAGGAGGAACACCAGUGGCGAAGGCGGCUUACUGGACGGUAACUGACGUUGAGGCUCGAAAGCGUGGGGAGCAAACAGGAUUAGAUACCCUAGUAGUC